UGAGGAAUAUUCCACAAUGGGCGAAAGCCUGAUGGAGCGACGCCGCGUGCGGGAAGAAGCCUUUCGGGGUGUAAACCGCUUUUCUCUGGGAUGACACGGUGGGGUAACCCACCUAGGACAGUACCAGAGGAAUAAGCAUCGGCUAACUACGUGCCAGCAGCCGCGGUAAUACGUAGGAUGCUAGCGUUGUCCGGAUUUACUGGGCGUAAAGCGCGCGCAGGCGGCACCUCAAGUACUCUCUGAAAUCCACCUGCUCAACGGGUGGGGUGGAGAGUAGACUGAGGAGCUAGAGAGAGGUAGAGGGGGGUAGAAUUGCUGGUGUAGCGGUGAAAUGCGUAGAGAUCAGCAGGAAUACCCGUGGCGAAGGCGGCCCCCUGGGCCUCUUCUGACGCCGAGGCGCGAAGGCCGGGGGAGCGAACGGGAUUAGAUACCCCGGUAGUCCCAGCAGUAAACGAUGACCACUAGGUGUGGGGGUGUUGACCCUUCCGUGCCGAAGCCAACGCAUU
Molecule: ribosomal RNA, 506 nt
Filed under: uncultured bacterium
Lineage: Bacteria
Description: bacterial SSU rRNA
Rfam family: Bacterial small subunit ribosomal RNA
Source: RNAcentral